AAAUUUAAAUAUGAGAUUUCAAUUUUUUAUCUUUUGGAUAAAUUCAUGAAUACGUCAAUUAAUGAUGAUAGCAUAAAGGAUAAUGUCUUUGUUACGAAGGCGAAAGAUGGUCAAUGUACCAGAGAAUUCAGGAGAAACGAUAUCUUUUUUUUUUUUCCAACAAUAAUAUAGAAUUAGCUCAAGUGAGCCAAUUAGGAGGACAGUUGUUUACAAACUUAAUGAGAUGCGGAGAGGAACGAGCUUGUCGUGCCAGGUAGUCCGCUUUUACAUUUAGAUUUCGUGAAAUAAGAGAUAAAGAAGAAGUUGAGAAUUCUUCCCUAUCCAUCUCGAUAUCGUCCAGGUAAACAGAAAAUGCUGGCCAUUCUGAAGGGGAAGAC
RNAcentral lists this long non-coding RNA (377 nucleotides) under Capsella rubella. RNAcentral describes it as "long non-coding RNA (CRUB_LNC001694)". The record is from RNAcentral. Lineage: Eukaryota; Viridiplantae; Streptophyta; Magnoliopsida; Brassicales; Brassicaceae.